This 253-nucleotide ribosomal RNA is filed under the name uncultured Mucispirillum sp. RNAcentral describes it as "partial 16S ribosomal RNA". It matches the Rfam family "Bacterial small subunit ribosomal RNA", at positions 524 to 776 of the family's 1533-position model. Lineage: Bacteria; Pseudomonadati; Deferribacterota; Deferribacteres; Deferribacterales; Mucispirillaceae. The record is from RNAcentral.
UACGGAGGGGGCGAGCGUUGUUCGGAGUGACUGGGCGUAAAGAGCACGUAGGCGGUGUUGUAAGUCAUUAGUCAAAGACUAGAGCUCAACUUUAGUAAGGCUAGUGAUACUAUAAUACUAGAGUAUCAGAGAGGAUUGCAGAAUUCCUGGUGUAGCGGUGAAAUGCGUAGAUAUCACGCAGAACCCCGAUUGCGAAGGCAGCAUGCCGGCUUCUGUCUGACGCUGAGGCAAGAAAGCGUGGGUAGCGAACAGG